GAUGUCGGUAUGUCAGCGUGUGUCGUGUGUGCCACCGGUCAUCUGUGUGUGGUGCGUGUGUCUCCGCACCACGACUCCCUCUCCUGGGUCUGCUCAGUCCACGGAGGCAGCUCCCCUUCAGCUGUUGCCAGAAAACCGGGGAGGAAAGGAAAGUGCUGAAAGUCAGAGCUCAUCAAUAAAAUCUGCGCGACCUGAACUCGCUGCUGACUGGCCGCGUCGCCGCAGCCCCUGGCAGCCGGGACAGUGAGGACGCUGCAAGCCGCCCUGGGCCGCCGGGCCACAUGUGGGCCUCACCCUCUCGUUCCUGCCUGGGACCCAGCAGCCCUGCGACCAAGGAGCCCGGGCAGGGCUCCCGGGAAGCAAAGGCCUCCCCGGCCCUAGCCAGAGGUGGGGUCGCAUAACCCUCUCCCCUCCCCGGGCUGGGGAGGGCUGCCGGCUCUAACCCUUCCCCGGGAGCUCGCAGCGCCGGGAGGAAACCUGGGUCAGAGGUGAAGGAGGUGGCGCCGGGUGUCCAGGUCCGCGGCCUCCUGGGCGAGGUUUCAUUUCGCAGGAGCGCGACUUUCGGAGGAUGCCGGCAAGUGGGGCCGCGGCCCUGAGUCCCAGACCAGCGAAAGUCGGCUUUCUCUUUCUCUCUCCUUUUACUUUCCAAGCGAGCAUUAAAGAAGCUUGGACUCAAGACUCAAGUCCGCUGUGCAUGAGCGAGGGACUUGCGGGGGGGCGGGGGGGGGGGAAGUGAUUCUGUCCGAACUGGAGGCGAGUAUCAUUUUUACAACCUCUCAAUUAGCGACCGAGUGGAUUAGCACCUUCUUAAGCUUUGCCUCGGAAAGAAGCAGCCGUAAUCUUGUUGCUAUUUCCCCCCAGGGCACUGGCUCUUUGAAUCAGCUCCUUCUCCCACCCCUCCAACCCCCAUCUCGCUGCGGAGAAAAGUUUUAACAAAAAAUCAGAAAAGGCAAGGAGCGAGGAGUGAAUGCCACUGACGUCAUUGGGUGGGGAAGGGGGCUCCGGGAAAGACUCCUGGAAACUCCUCCGCACAAACAAAAAACAAAAAGGACUUGGCUGCUUCCCAUGUGUCAAUAUUUGGGGAGGGGAGUUCAACCCCAGAAUGAGGCCGAGUUUUCAAAGUUUAAGGAGAGAGGGGUGA
Molecule: long non-coding RNA, 1141 nt
Filed under: Homo sapiens (human)
Lineage: Eukaryota; Metazoa; Chordata; Mammalia; Primates; Hominidae
Description: HSALNT0362125
Source: RNAcentral